GCCCUCUCUAAGGAAUGUGAGACACCCUAAUUAAUUUACACAGGUGUCUUCAAGCUAAUUUUGCCAAAAGCUCACAGUCUCUCAGUUGCAAUCUCUACUGUGCUUGCAGUUCAGCACAGACGUACCUGCCAUCACCUGGGUCCUGUUCAAGCUGCAUCUCUCUGGUCUCUGUGGGGGCUAGCCACGCGGGAUGCAAGCCUCCCCCACCUCAAGCACUACUGAAGGCCAGGAAGAAUCCUGCAGAACAGCCCAAAUGGUGUACAACAGGUCUCUUCCAACAUCUAACAUAAAUACAGAUCUCGUUUCUGAGGAACACCUAGUGCUGGUUAAAUUUAUUCUAUGUUUGAGAAUCCAGCCCAUUGCUUGUGACAUGAUAGAGAACUGGAAGAACACCCUCCAUCCGCAAACAUAUGUGAUUAAAGCAAACAGGAAGAAAGAAUAAAGUGUUUACCCCCGAGCCCUAGAUUUGAAAAGAAUGGUUUCUGGCAGGAGUCCACAAGAAGCAGAAACUGACUGAAAGAUAAAAGCCAGCACUAUUGGCAUCCGUACCAGGUACAGAAGAGGUGGAUCAGAGGCAACCAAACAGGAACAGAGACCUCCAUUUAUCUCUUGCAAUGAAACAGAAUAUAAAUGAAACUUGGCAUCAGUGUGAAAGGAUGGUUUGAUGUUAAACUGCACCAAGUCCCAAGGAAAAAAAAAUAAUUAAAAUAAAGUAAAAUAAAAUAAAAUAAAAUAAAAUAAA
RNAcentral lists this long non-coding RNA (742 nucleotides) under Anas platyrhynchos platyrhynchos (common mallard). Its description in RNAcentral is "lncRNA (ENSAPLG00000026495.1)". Lineage: Eukaryota; Metazoa; Chordata; Aves; Anseriformes; Anatidae. The record is from RNAcentral.